UACGAAGGGGGCUAGCGUUGUUCGGAAUCACUGGGCGUAAAGCGCACGUAGGCGGAUUGUUAAGUCGGGGGUGAAAUCCUGAGGCUCAACCUCAGAACUGCCUUCGAUACUGGCAAUCUCGAGUCCGGAAGAGGUUGGUGGAACAGCUAGUGUAGAGGUGAAAUUCGUAGAUAUUAGCUAGAACACCAGUGGCGAAGGCGGCCAACUGGUUCGGCACUGACGCUGAGGUGCGAAGGCGUGGGGAGCAAACAGG
Molecule: ribosomal RNA, 253 nt
Filed under: uncultured bacterium
Lineage: Bacteria
Description: partial 16S ribosomal RNA
Rfam family: Bacterial small subunit ribosomal RNA
Source: RNAcentral